CCCAAGAGCAUUGGAGCCAUCUAUUUUCAUUAGAUGGAACCAAGCUACUGUACAAGUUCACUCGUGCACAAAUAGUAAAAACAAUAUCUUGAAUAACAAUAUACUCAUUUUUAGGAGCCUCCCCAUGGGUCCUAGCAUUACGUUCACGCCAAAUAGCAUAAAUCGAAGCCGCAAACAUUAACCGGAUAACGAUAGAGGACAAUGACCUCCCACGAAAUUGUUCCAUCCAAGAGAGAGAAUCAAGCCAACUCCGUUGAACCCAUGGCAAGUUACAUUUCACAUGCAGAGCAUUCCAAACACGCUCACAAAAUGGGCAUGCAAAGAAAAGAU
RNAcentral lists this long non-coding RNA (330 nucleotides) under Olea europaea subsp. europaea. The record is from RNAcentral. Lineage: Eukaryota; Viridiplantae; Streptophyta; Magnoliopsida; Lamiales; Oleaceae.